Molecule: ribosomal RNA, 1045 nt
Filed under: unidentified archaeon
Lineage: Archaea
Description: bacterial SSU rRNA
Rfam family: Archaeal small subunit ribosomal RNA
Source: RNAcentral
UCCGGUUGAUCCUGCCAGAGGUUACUGCUAUCGAGGUUCGACUAAGCCAUGCGAGUCGAAUGUAGCAAUACAUGGCGAACUGCUCAGUAACACGUGGACAACCUGCCCUUAGGUUGGGUAUAAACCCGGGAAACUGGGUAUAAUACCCGAUAGGUCUCGAUUGCUGGAAUGCAUCGAGAUUUAAAGCUCCGGCGCCUAAGGAUGGGUCUGCGGCCUAUCAGGUAGUAGUGGGUGUAGCGUACCUACUAGCCUACGACGGGUACGGGUUGUGAGAGCAAGAGCCCGGAGAUGGAUUCUGAGACACGAAUCCAGGCCCUACGGGGUGCAGCAGGCGCGAAAACUUUACAAUGCUGGCAACAGCGAUAAGGGAACCUCGAGUGCCAGGUUACAAAUCUGGCUGUCGAGAUGCCUAAAAAGCAUUUCAUAGCAAGGGCCGGGCAAGACCGGUGCCAGCCGCCGCGGUAACACCGGCGGCUCGAGUGGUAACCGUUAUUAUUGGGUCUAAAGGGUCUGUAGCCGGCCGGAUAAGUCUCUUGAGAAAUCUGGCAGCUUAACUGUCAGGCUUUCAGGAGCUACUGUCUGGCUCGAGGCCGGGAGAGGUGAGAGGUACUUCAGGGGUAGGGGUGAAAUCUUGUAAUCCUUGAAGGACCACCAGUGGCGAAGGCGUCUCACCAGAACGGACCUGACGGCAAGGGACGAAAGCUGGGGGAGCAAACCGGAUUAGAUACCCGGGUAGUCCUAGCCGUAAACGAUACUCGCUAGGUGUCGGCCACGGUGCGACCGUUGUCGGUGCCGUAGGGAAGCCGUGAAGCGAGCCACCUGGGAAGUACGGCCGCAAGGCUGAAACUUAAAGGAAUUGGCGGGGGAGCACCACAACGGGUGGAGCUUGCGGUUUAAUUGGAUUCAACGCCGGAAAUCUUACCGGGACCGACAGCAUUAUGAAGGCCAGGCUGAAGACUUUGCCGGAUUAGCUGAGAGGUGGUGCAUGGCCGUCGUCAGUUCGUACUGUGAAGCAUCCUGUUAAGUCAGGUAACGAGCGAGACCC